This 22759-nucleotide long non-coding RNA is filed under the name Nicotiana benthamiana. RNAcentral's name for it is "long non-coding RNA (NBEN_LNC012832)". Lineage: Eukaryota; Viridiplantae; Streptophyta; Magnoliopsida; Solanales; Solanaceae. The record is from RNAcentral.
GUUUAUUCAACAACUACUUAAACAUGCACUCUUUUCCAAGUUAUGCACACUAAAUAAGCACAACUAAUUGAUGAUCAUGUGAAUUAACUACAACAAGAACAUAGUUGAAUAAAUAUAGAUUAAAACCGGCAAAUUUUCAUUAACAUAAACUAAAAGUUCAUCCCUCAGUAGGUUUCAUCAAGACCUUAGACAAAGGAUUUAGCUACUCAUAACUAUGGGUAAACAAAAAAAACUAAGAAUAAACAUAAUCUAACAAUAAAAUCAAAAGGAAAAAAGAAAUAGGUUUGAGCUAUUCUCACAGACGUGUUUUUCCUUCCAAGAACACAAAAUAAUCAAUACAUGCCUCAAAGGGGCGGAACCUAGUGACUAAUAUAGGUUUUAGGGCUUAAUUCCACGUUUUUCCUCAACUUCCCCUGUCCCGUCACAUGCUUUCUGCGGUCGAGGCGCGGUCGCGGUCGAACCGUGCCCGUGAAGCCUCUCUGAAUCUCGAUUUUGUCUGCAGCCUUGUUUACCUGGCGCUUCAUCCGCGGUCGCGGCUCGACUGCGGCCAAAGGACUUCUCUAAACUUUUGUUUUGUCUGAGACAAUGUUUCACCGCAUUACGUCCACGGUCGCGGCUGGAUCGCGGCCAACGGCUGCUUCAGAAUUCCUUGGCCUGUUUCACUUGAUUUGGUUGGGGUUUUCAUGGUUGUCCUUUUUUCUUCAUUUUCUCGACUCCACAAGUACCUCUCGCCUUCCUAGUCACGUAUAGCCUGAAAACACGAAAAAGCACCCAUAAGAGCAUUUUUGCUAACACUUUUAAUAUCAAAACAAUACAAGAAGGUGGUUAUUUAGAGCGUGAAUAUAGUCAAAUUCACCUAUUAUCAACACCCCACACUUAAACCUUUGCUCGUCCUCGAGCAAGCUAAGCCACACUUUUAGACCUAACCAAUUGAUGCAUUACCCAAAGUUAUGUCACACCCACCAUUUUCACGGACCAACCUAAGAAAUGCAACGACCAUACCCAAGAUGCAGACUCUAUUGCGAUGACACAAUCAACCCCACUCUAUUUACUCUACAGAGGUGAAGACUCACUUUUUCAUCCUUAGUCACAUGCCCUUACAUCAAUUUUCUGAGAGAAGUUCCACACACAUAUAAUUUAAUACAAGGAACUAAAGAUAGAAAUAAUUCACUCACUCUCAGCAAAGAGCAGUCAAAUGCCACACAGACACACCAUUAGCUUGCCCCUAGUGUAAUACUCUACUAAUCGAGUUGUUUUAGUCAAAGAUCAAUAGGUCUUGAUUUGUUUGUAAUGUAGGAUUAGGGACAGGUAGGAUACAUUUGGACAUAAUGACUAACCUCCCUAAGAAAUUUUAAUACAUAUUUCCCUUUUUCUUAUACGUUUUCAUGUUCAACCCCCGCUCAUUCCUCCACAUUUUUAUUUCAUAGUUGCCCCUACUUUUCUUCCGGUGCACUGGCCUCUUAUUUUCUAUAUCUCUUUUUUUACAAGACCAGUGCACCAUUUAUUUUACACAUUCUUGAUUCCCCCUUUUUUCUCUUUCUUUCUUUUCUUUUCUUUUUUUUCUUUUUCUUUUCCUUUUCUUCCUUUCUUUCCCCUUUUCUCUUUUUUUUUGCUCUUCUUCUUUUUCCUUUCUUUCCUUUCCUUUUCCCUUCUUUUUCCAUUUGCUUAUUUCCGGCAUUUGAGUUUCUUUAAUUGUGACGUUGAUUCCGAAAGAGGGGUAUGAAAGAAAAUAAAUAAGGCUCAAAGAUGGUGAAAAAGGGUAAAGUAUUUAGAUAGCAGAACAAAACGCCUUCGUCAUUUCAGACUUCAAAAUAUGCAAAAAUACAAACAAGUGCAAUUAGAAUACAGAAACCAUACACAUCAUUUCUUGACCGCAUCGGAAUUGAUGGUCAUUUCCAUACAUUGUUCUUCUACAUUUGUCAGAUAUAAUGUGCCAUUGGGAAACACUCUUACUCUUAUUACCACGAUCGGCCCCCGGUCACUUUGGCCGACUUACUUUUACGGGAAUUUUUAUAUGUUUUACUUGCCCUAGUUUCACAUGGUUCGGGCGUCAAAACAAUCUCAAAUUGUCCAAAUCUGUUCUUAUUUCCUCAAAUGCCCUCAUCAUCUUCAAAAUGAUUUCAUUGCUUCCCGACUAAUGUAGCUUUUAAUGAUCAGACUGAGAAUUAUGUAUGCAUGUUAUGUCACUAGAAUCAUCAUUAUACAAAAGACAAAACAAAAGGAUAGAAACGAACUAAACAAACGAUGAAACAGUUCGAAUAGAAAAAUAAAACAAAAAAAACUGGAGUACAACCUUAGAAUGAACUGAAAAAGACAUGGACAACCCUAACAAACCACUACGACUAUACAAACUAGACAAAAAAAUAAAAGGAUAAGAGGGUUUGAUCACAAGACAAUAUCCGGAUUAGAACCCUAUAAAUAACCCGGACAGCAGAAAUGACAGCAAAAUGGACAACCAAAGCUCCUCCCCGCCUGACCUAGGAAUGGAGCGUCUUUCCAAUUACCAAGUACGACAUCUUAGCCACUAAAUUUUGCAUCACCCACAUUAGGAACUCUACAAACUUUCAUCACAUCAUCCUGAACAAGUUGUUUUUGGGUCUCCGAGGCUCUAAGAGAAUUCUCACAUUCCUUUUCAAAACAAAACAAAUCUCCUAGGCUUAUUGAUUUUACCCGCGUCAAUAAGCUCUUGAAUUGCUUUCUUCAGCUUCCAGCACUUUCCCGUGUCAUGCCCCGGAGCAUCUGAGCAAUAUGCACACUUUAGAGAAACAUCACAUUCAAGAGGGUUUGGCAUUUUUAUCUAAAUCAGCUUCCGCAUGCCUACUUGCUUCAACUUUUGUAACACACUGGCAUAUGAUUCUCCAAUAGGGGUGAGAACCUUUUCUCGUUUAAGCAACCUCUCGUUAUGACACGCCUGAUUUGGCUUAAUACCUGACCCAGGGGGGUUAAUGGUAUGCUCGUGGAGGUGGAUAGACAUUUUGUGGAGCUGGGUACUUGGAGAGUGAUCACGCCCAAAGUAUGCCCUCUAAAAAGGAUUCUGCGGACGUUGCAAAUAAAAACCAAGUAUUAUGCCCAGGGUCAAAUCCACAGAGAGUUAACCUAUCAAAUACCACCUUAAGACUCACUCAAAUCCUCAAGACCAGCUUUCCCGAAACAUUCGAAUCACAGUUGGAGGUUUAAUUACUAGCUAAUAUUUGGAAUAAACUAACAAGCUGAAAUUAGACUAACUAAGGUUGUAAACAAUAUGAGAGAGAGAUGCUACGGUCAAAACUUUCCCUAUUGUGGAGUCCCUUCUUUUUAUACUUCAUACAAAUUUACCAACAGUUUUAUAUCAACAAUGAACACUUAGCUUAUUAUGAAUUUCUUCCGAAUAAUCACAAUAAUAUACUAUUGCACUCUCCUGAGCUACACUAGCUAGCUUUAAUUAAACAGUUCAUUCAAAAGUGCACAAAGGAUUCGUUAUUCCUAAUCCCGACUUUAAACCUGCAAUUAUAGAUUCCUCUUAUUACCUUAGGAAUGGUAUUAUUCACACUAAAUAAGCACAACUACUUGAAAAUCAUGUCAAUUAACUACAACAAGAACAUAGUUGAAUAAAUAUAGAUUAAAAGCGGCAGAUUUGCAUUAACAUAAACUAAAAGUUCAUCCCUCAAUAGGUUCCAUCAGGACCUUAGACAAAGGAUUUAGCUACUCAUAAUUAUGGGCAAACAAAAUAAACUAAGAUUAAACAUAAUCUAACAAUAAAAAUCAAAAGGAAAGAAGAAAUAGUGGGUAAAUAAACUAAGAUUAAACAUAAUCUAAUAAUAAAAAUCAAAAGGAAAGAAGAAAUAGGUUUGAGCUAUUCUCACACACUUAUUUUUCCUUCCAAGAACUCAAAAUAAUCAAUGCAUGCCUCAAAGGGGCGGAACCUAGUGACUAAUAUAGGUUUUAGGGCUUAAUUCCAUGUUUUUCCCCAACUGACCCUGUGCAGUCACACGCCUUCCGCGGUCGAAGCGCGGUCCCGGUCGAACCGCGGCUAUGAAGCCUCUCUGAAUCUCGAUUUUGUUUGUAGCCCUAUAUGCCCGCGCUCCAUCCGCGGUCACGGCUCGGCCGCAGCCAAAGUCGUUCUCUGAACUUUUGUUUUGUCUGAGACCAUGUUUCACCUUGUUACGUCCGCGGUCGCGGAUGGAGACCGGCCAACGCCUGCUUCAGAAUUCCUUGUCAUGUUUCACUUGAUUUGGUUGGGGGUUUUUAUGGUUGGCCUUUUUUCUUCAUUUUCUCGACUUCACAAGUACUUCUAUCUUCCUAGUCGCGUAUAGCCUGAAAACACGAAAAAGAACCACUACGAGCAUUUUUGCUAACCAUUUUAAUAUCAAAACAAUUCAAGAAGGUGGUUAUUUAGGGCCUGAAUAUAGUCAAAUUCACCUAUUAUCAACACCCCACACUUAAACCUUUGCUAGUCCUCGAGCAAGCUAAACCACACUUUCUGACCUAACCAAUGCAUUACCCAAAGUUAUGCCACACCCACCAUUUUCACAGACCAACCUAAGAAAUGCAACGGCCAUACCCAAGAUGUAGACUCUAUUGCCAUGACACAAUCAACCUCACUCUAUUUACUCUACAUAGGUGAAGACUCACUUUUUCAUCCUGAGUCACAUGCCCUUUCAUCAAUUUUCUGAGAGAAGUUCCGCAUACAUAUACGUUGAAUACAGGGAACUAAAGAUAGAACGAAUUCGCUCACUCUCAGCAAAGAGCAGUCACAUGCCACACAGACACACCAUAAGCUUGCCCCUAGUGUAGUACUCUACUAAUCGAGUUGUUUCAGGGAAAGAUCAAUAGGUUUUGAUUUGGUUGUAAUGUAGGCUAAGGGACGGGUAGGAUACAUUUGGACAUAGUGACUAACCUCCCUAAGAACUUUUAAUACAUACUUCCCUUUUUCUUAUACGUUUCAUGUUCAGCCCCUACUCAUUCCUCCACAUUUUUAUUUCAUAGUUGUCCCCUACAUUUUUUUCCAGGUGCACUGGCCUCUUAUUUUCUAUAUCUCUUUCUUCUUUUUUACAAGACCUGUGCACCAUUCAUUUUACUCAUUCUUGAUUCCCCCUUUUCGCUACUUCUUACCACCCCACACUUUGACUUUUAUAUGUUCUGCAUUAAUUCAAGUGCUUCUAGGAGGUAUAAGUUCAAACAACUUAUUCAAUCUCAGGGAUAUAGUUGAUUAGGGUUACCAAAGAAUAGGCUUCAGGCUCAAAGGGGUUAACUAUGGACAUAUGUACAGGUGGAUUCAUAAGAGUUAUAUAAGGGCUUAAACAAAAAAGUGCCUCGAUCAUCUCUAAGACCUAACAGCUUAUAUUUCGCUUUGCAAACAUACAGGGCAAGUUCUAGGUACAUAUGCAAGCACGGAAAGCAGGUAAAAUCUCACACUCAUAUAGCAUGUAACUCAUUUCGAGUCAGUUCAUCAACACACACAUACGAGCUUUCAAGCAAGAAUAGAUGUGAAAAAUUAAGGCAUAGAAUUACAAGUCUACAACCGAGUCUAACCAUCGCACUCUCAAGCUCAUUUUAAUAAGUUGCAGGUGUGAACAUCAGGGGUCUCAAUCUAGACUUUACCCAUUUUAGUCCUAAACCACAAAAAUAAGAAUCUACCUAACUCGGUUCAAGAAAAACCCUUGGAAAAGAACCUUGGUCAAAAGAAAACCAAGGGGGAAUUACUACACUACCUAAAAAGGAAAACAAAAUAAGAAAAAAUAUCUACAUGGAAUACUUCCCUCAAUAGUACUUGUCCAAGUUGUCCGUCAUCAGGAAGAGUCCUCUAACUAUUUUUUUUUGUUAUUUUGUUUUUUUAUAUAUAAUUCCGACUUUGACCCUCAAGAGACCCGUCGACAAGUGUCCGUCGUUGGGCAAAGUCAGCUAUAUCUAAUAAAAGCAAAUUCAAAUAUAUACAACAAUUAUCUUCAACUACAACACCAACAAUUUGAUAUAUUAUACAACAUACAAAUAGAGCAAGUCUCCCACACCACACUUAAAAUUAUGGCAUGUCCCCAUGUCAUAUUAAACAAGUAAAUAGCAAUUCUCCCAAACCACUCUUAAAAUUAUGGUAUGUCCCCACUCAAUCCGAGUCGGAGACGGUGGCAGGGUCCACAUUGCAUGCCCUCCCCAGUGCACGAAACCAGUACAUGAACUAGCUCUCUGACCUGGACUGUCGCUGUGACAUGGCAUCCAUCCUCGUAUGAAGACCAUCCACAGAGGUGCGGAGAUCCGCACCAUUCUCCUCCAUGGACCGCAAUAUCGGCCGUGAAGACUGAAACAUGGAGAACCCCGCUCCAGCCCAAGGGCAUCUAGAAGGUCCGGCACUGUUAGUGGACUGCCUCGAUGGAGCAGGAGGGGCUGGGGCAUCAUCGUCAUCAUCAAUCUGAAUAGGAGCCCGAGCACCCCGGCCUAUGUCAAUGCGAGCGGCUUUGAAUGGAGCGGUAGAAGCUACAGUGCCAUCUGUAGGAAAGGUGGGCACGUUCUUCUGCAGACACAGAUAAGUCACCAACGAGGGGAAAUAAAACCCCUUAGAAAGCAAUGGGACCCUCAGAAACAUCUCAUCACCAAUAACCCUGGUAACAUCAAACUCCUUGCCCGUCACAAAACACCAAUUCAAAACUGCUAUAUUGAAAUUUACGUCCGUGGUGUUGCCGGACGGAAUGAAGCGGCUGCAGAUCAUGGUUAGCCAAUAUUUAGCCAAGUGUUUAAAAGAGGAGGAGUUCAAAGUUACGCCAUCCGUGACCCAAGUCGCUCGUCUCCCAACACAAAGAGUGGUAAUCAAAUCAUUUCAUGUGACAUCGGCCGGCUAUGGUAAUAAUCAACAUCACCCGUGAAUGUAGGUAGCCGCAAAGCCCUAUGAAUGUAUGGGAUAUGUGCUUGGACAUACUUACCUCUCACAAACACAUCCCUAUGUGAUGAAGCAGUCAAACAGUUGGCAUAAAAUUCUCGCACAAUCAUCAGGUUGAUCGGGCAAGGGUCAUCAAAGAGGAAUUCCAUCUGGCGGUGCCGAAUCUCCUCGUACGUCUCAUCUUUCUCUGUUCAGAGGGCAGCACGGUCUAUCGGCACAACCUGAAUAAAGGUCUUUCUAGCCUUUGCGUCAAAGUCAUAUUCCGCCAGUUUAAUGUUGAACCUAGACUCGUCAUAUGUGGGUUGGUUGGAUGAGCCAUCCCCUCGCUAUGGCUUCUUUCGAGUCAUAGUACCUGCAUAGAUACAAGACAAUCGAUUAAUUUCAUUCAAAUUGGUGUCAAAUGGGUGGUUACUAAGACUUCACCGCCCAAAGACACCACAAAACACUCCUUUUUGUAGUUCCAAGUGACACCCACACCCCAUUAGCAUUGUAGUGAAGGCCUAACAACCUAGCUAAAUACAAACAUUGGCCAACACCACCCCACACUUACACUUUUGCACCUAAUUUACAAACAAAAUCACCUCCUAACUCACCACUAGCCGACCCCACACUUAGAAUUUGUGCAUAAUCUGCCCCAAACUAACAACGCAAUCAUCAAUUUUCAACUGAACAGGGCCUCCCAACAACCACAUCUCCAUAAAAAAUUUUCUAGGCCUCCAAAAUAGCAACACAAGCCCCAUAACUUCAAAAAUAAUGGAGGCCCAAACAAUUUCACACCAAACAAUCCCACAAUAACACCCACAAAUAUAUACAAAAACAACAAUUAACAAUUAUACAAGAUUGAAACUAUUGCUACCUAUGGUUAAUUAAAACAACUAAACUAACUUACACUAAUUUAGUAAGUAAAAUAAAGAGAAAGAAAGAGGAACAUACAAGGAUUGAAGAUUGGGAAGGGUUGAUGAAGUUGGGGAAGGGGGGGAUAGUUGGGUGAGUUGAGGAAUUGAAUAAGAGAAGAAGAAGAGAGAAGUUGGAGAGAAAAGAUGAAAAAAUGGUGAAAAUUGCUACUGGGGCAGAAGAGAAAAGGGAACGAAGGGUUUUGAAAGCUAGGGGGCAUUUUGGUAAAAAAAGGGGUAAAAAAAUUAAAAAUAACAAAAUAAAAACCAACCUGGCGCGCGGGCUCCGCGGUCCGACCGUGGUCGCGGGAGGACUGCGGAAGAUGAAGUUCAGAGAGCGGUUAUAUCCGGGCUUGGCCAGCGUUAGCACUGGGACCGCGGAAGACGGGGUUCAGAGAGGGGUCAGUGCCGCGCUUUAACUGCGGUCUGGGCCCUUCUUUGAAUCUGAUGAUGGUUUUUUUUGUGUUAUUGAUUAUUCUUACAUGAUUACAAUUACAACAAUAUCGUGGGUUGCCUCCAACGCAUCACCUGAUUUAAUGUCGCAGCAUGACAGAUGAGCGCAUUUACGGCUCUCUCGACCUUUGCGGCUCAUUCAAGUGUAGCGCAGUUCCUUCUUUAGAUUCGCUCAUUCACAUGUAUAAUUUCAACUACUGGCCAUUGACUCUAAAUGUGCGAGAGUCAUUCUCAGUAGCAACUUCAACAACCCCAGACGGGAGGACUUCAACCACCCUAAAUGGUCCAGACCAUCGUGAUUUGAGCAUACCCGGGAACAACAUCAAUCUUGAGUUGUAAAAUAGUACCCUGUCCCUGGAUUUGAAGGUUCGCUCCGUAAUGUGCUGAUCAUGCAGCCUCUUCAUUUUUUCUUUAUACAGUCUUGUGCUCUGAAAAGUAAGAUGUCAGAACUCCUCCAGCUCAUGCAAUUUUGUGACUCUAGACGAGCCUGCAACUUCUAUGUCAAGAUUCAACUGUUUGAGUGCCCACCACGCUGUGUGCUCAAGUUCUACCGGCAGGUAACAGGCCUUCCAAAACACCAACUUGUGUGGAGACAUACCAAUUAGUGUCUUGAAUGCUGUUCUAUACGCCCAGAGUGCAUCAUCUAACUUUCUUGCCCAAUAUGUUCUUGUAGCAUUUACAGUUUUUGUCAACACACUCUUUAUCUCUCUAUUGGAGACCUCCACCUGUCCACUGGUUUGCGGGUGGUAAGGAGUAGCCACCAUGUGACGCACGUCGUAUUUGUAGAAAAUUAUUCUAUCUAUGAUAUGUGCGCUUUGGUUGUAUAAGCAUGAUUUUCAGGUAUAGGUUUUGAUGAAUGACAAACAAUGAAGUCAAGUGNNNNAACUUGUAUGGAGACAUACCAAUUGGUGUCUUGAAUGUUGUUCUAUACGCCCAGAGUGCAUCAUCUAACUUUCUUGCCCAAUAUGUUCUUGUAGCAUUUACAGUUUUUGUCAACACACUCUUUAUCUCUCUAUUGGAGACCUCCACCUGUCCACUGGUUUGCUGGUGGUACAGAGUAGCCACCUUGUGGCACACAUCAUAUUUUGCCAACAAUUUCUCAAAUGAUUUAUUGUAGAAAUGAGUGCCCCAGUCACUUAUUGUCGCUCGUGGUGUCCCAAAGCGGGUGAGUAUGUUUUUCUUCAGAAACCCCACCACUGCUUUUGCAUCAUUGGUGGAUAAUGCUACAACUUCCACCCAUUUAUACACACAAUCCACAGCAACAAGAAUGUACUCAUUGCCGUAAGAGCUAACGAAGGGACCCAUGAAAUCUAUCCCCCAAACAUCAAAUACUUCAACCUCCUGAAUUGGGGUUGUGGGCAUCUCGUGGCAUCGGUAGUUGUUCCCGGUGCGUUGGCAUUCAUUACAACCCCUUACCCAUGUGUGAGCAUCUUUGAACACAGUUGGCCAGAAAAACCGAGCCUCAAGCACCUUUGCUGCAGUCGUCGCUCCUCCAAAGUGUCCCCCAUAAGCCGAUGCAUGACAUGCCUACAAAAUAGAAGAUUGUUCCAUCUCGGAGUAGCAUCUCCGGAUCAUGUUAUCCAGACAUAUUCUAAAAAUAUAGGGAUCAUCCCAAUAAUACAUACGGCUUUCACGAAAGAAACGCUUCCUCUAGACCGAAGAUAGGUCGUGAGGGACUAUACGCAAGCUAGGUAGUUGGCAAAAUCUGCAUACCAUGGUGCUUCUUGAUGUUUAUCUAUGAGCAGUUUGUCUGGAAAGGUUUCCAGAAUAUCCUUAACCUCAAUUGUAUUUUUAGCUCCCUCAAGUUGUGAUAGAUGAUCAACGACUUGGUUCUCACUGCCCUUUCGGUCACGUAUCUCAAGAUUAAACUCUUGUAGCAACAACAUCCAACGAAUCAGGCGGGGCUUAGAGUCUUUCUUCUCUAUCAAGUAUCUAAAAGUUGCAUGGUCAGUGUAUACAAUUACCUUUUAUCCUAUAAAGUAGGACCGUAACUUGUCGAAUGAAAACACCACAGCUAACAUCUCAUUCUCGGUCACUGUGUAAUUCAGUUGGGCCCUACUCAGCAUUCUACUUGCAUAGUAGAUUGGAUGCAUCAAUUUUUCCUUCCGCUGGCCCACCACCGCCCCUACUGCAUAGUCACUAGCAUCACACAUUAGCUCGAAAGGUUGCUCCCAGUUGGGGGGAAACAAUGAUUGGUGCUGUGACCAGCUUUUGCUUAAGCUCUUCAAGUGCUACCCUGCAUGCAUCAGAAAAUACAACAGGUUAUCUUUUUCUAGCAACUUACAGAGAGGGUUGGCGAUUUUGGAGAAGUCGUUAAUGAAUCGUCAGUAGAAACUGGCAUGUCCAAGGAAGCUUCUUAUUGCUUUUACCAAGGUUGGCGGAGGCAGCUUUGCUAUGGCAUCAACUUUAGCUCUAUCUACCUCCAUUCCCUUGCUUGACACUCGGUGCCCCAAGACUAUGCCUUCUUGCACCAUGAAAUGGAACUUCUCCCAGUUUAGCACCAAAUUAGUCUCUAUGCACCUCUUCAACACACGUGUCAGAUUCACUUGACACUCAUCAAACAAAUUCCCCACCACUGAGAAAUCAUCCAUGAACACCUCCAUAAUGUCUUCAACCAUAUCAGUGAAAUUGGCCAUCAUGCACCGUUGGAAUGUGGCAGGUGCAUUACAAAGGCCAAAAGGCAAAAUUCCCCACCACAGAGAAAUCAUCCAUGAACACCUCCAUAAUGUCUUCAACCAUAUCAGUGAAAAUGGCCAUCAUGCACCGUUGGAAUGUGGCAGGUGCAUUACAAAGGCCAAAUGGCAUCCUCCUGAAAGCAUAAACGCCAUAGUGGCAAUUGAAUGAGGUAUUCUCUCGGUCCUUAGGGGCAACAGAUAUCUGGUUGUACCCUGAGUGCCCAUCGAGGAAGCAAGAGCGCGACCUCCCAGCCAAUCUGUCUAGCAUCUGAUCAAUGAAGGGAAGUGGGAAGUGGUCUUUCCGGGUGGCAAGAUUCAGAUUUCUAUAAUCCAUGAAUAUUCUCCAACCAGUGACGGUUCUCGUAGAGAUUAGCUCAUUUUUGUAAUUUUCACCACCGUCAUGCCACCUUUCUUAGGCACACACUGAACUGGGCUAACCCAACUGUUGUCAGAGAUACGGAAGAUAAUCCCCGCAUCUAACCACUUAAUUACCUCCUUCUUCACCACUCCCAUCAUGUUUGUAUUCAGCCUCCUUUGAUGUUCCCUGGAAGGUCUGUGUCCCUCUUCCAGCAGAAUCUUGUGCAUGCAAUAGCCGGAGCUGAUCCCCUUGAUAUCUGCUAUGGUCCAUCCGAUGGCAGUUUUGCAGGCCUUCAGUACCUGUAAAAGCUGUUGCCCUGCACAUCUAGCAAACCAGAUGAUAUAAUAACAGGUAAAGUGGAUUGGGCCUAGAAAUUCAUACCCGAGGUGAGCUGGCAAGGGCUAUAGCUCCAGCUUUGGUGGUUCUUCAAUGGACAGUUUAGCUGGAGGGCUCUCUCUUUUCUCCAAAUGUAGGGGUUCAAAUUCAAGCUUUCUAUCCCAAAACUCCUUACUUCCAACGCAAACACCCAUUCCGCCAACUCCUCACCAUUAGCCUCCUCCAAAUUGGAUAGACAUGCAGCUAAGGGAUCCUCCACCAUCAAUACCUCAUCAUCAGACUGAACAAUUACGUCCGCAACAUCAGUGAGAGAGCAGUUAGCGAAUUCACUUGGACGUCUCAUCACCACAUUAAAAAUAAUCUCUUCAUCAUUGAGCCUCAUCUUAAGCUCCCCAGUCUUGCAAUCAAUCAAUGCUCUCCUAGUGGCCAAGAAUGGGUUUCCCAAAAUGAUAGGAAUUUUUUCAUCCACCUUGCAAUCCAAGAUCACAAUAUCUGCAGGGAACACAAAUUUCCCCACCUGAAUAAGAACAUCAUCUAGGAUCCCAAAUGGAUGAUUUAUAGUCAUGUCAGCCAGAUGCAACAUCAUAGUGGUUGGUCUAGCUCUCCCAAUGCCGAACCUCUUGUAAACAACCAGGGGCAUGAGGUUAAUGCUAGCCCCUAAAUCACAAAGUUCCUUUGUAAAGGCAAAAUUACCAAUAGUACAAGGAAUAGUGAAACUCCCUGGGUUAGAGAGCUUUUCAGCAACGGGUCUAGUCACCACUGCACUACAAGUCUAUGUAACUGUUACUAUGACCGAAUCUUGGAAGUCAAACUUCCUAGAUAUCAAGUAUAUCAUCAUCUUUGCAUAUCCAGGCAUCUCCUUUAAAGCUUCGAUCAAUGGAAUAUUUACCUGAAUUUGCUUGAGCAUGUCAAAGAACUUCUUGUAUUACUCUUCUUUUUGGUGCUUGGCCAAUCUCUGUGGGAAUGGUGCAGGAGGUCUUUUCUUCCCAAUGACUUGGGACUUUUCCUUCUCAACUAUCAUCUCCUAAUUUGCUUGAGCAUGUCAAAGAACAUCUUGUAUUGCUCUUCCUUUUGGUGCUUGGCCAAUAUUUGUGGGAAUGGUGCAGGAGGUCUUUUCUUCCCAAUAACUUGGGACUUUUAAUUCUCAACUAUCAACUCCUCCAUUGGCUCUGCUACUGUUUCAGCGAUUUUCUCGCCCUCUUGUUGCACAUUCUAAUUUUCAGGAACAUACUGGACUGUCACAUCUGUCAGCCUUGUUGAUUCAUCCAGCUCAAUGGGUACCUGAAUUAGUGUCUCUGUCUGCAUAUUCUCAGGAUCUCUUUCCUUUUAAACAUCAAGAUCCCUCCCAUUGCUGAGACUCACCGCCAUUAGUUGCUUCGGGACCUGAUCUUUAGGGCUGGUCUGAGUAUCUGCAGACAAUGUCUCUUGAGGACGGUUAUUCAAAGACAUAGCAAUAUGACCCACCUGUAUUUCAAUAUUUUUAUAUAGUUGCAUCAUAUGAAUCUACCCUCUCAUUUAUCUUUGCAUUGCACCCAAUCACUUGUUGCAUCAUCUCUUCUAGCCUGGAGAACCCAUCUUCUUGUCUCCCACUAUGCUGUGUCUGAGGUGGGUUGUACCAUUGUUGCUGAUUAUUAUACCAUUGCGGCCUCGGAUAAGGUGCCAUGUUGCUGGGGGCAUCAUACCUCCUAUAUUCCUUGCACUGUAAUGUGGAUGGAUGGCCUGUACUGCUACUGAGUUUGCUGGCCCCAGUUCUGUUUACUUUGCCUCUGACCCCUGUAGUUAGCCACAUAAUUCAUAUCUUUAGGUUGUUGAUGAUGAAGGUCAUGCUCCACAUUCCAUGGAUUACCAAUUGGCUGACUGAUGCAAGAUGUGCACAAGUCCCCAUUGGUAGUAUCAACUAUAUGUACAUGCUGCUUUUGUCCUGACUCUUCCACCUUCUUGGUGAGGAUGCUCAUCUGUGUCAAAAGAGUCGCCACAUUCUCCCCCAUAGUGUUGGAAGGAUCAAGAGGCACUGAAUGCACCACCGGAGUGAUAGGUGUGUUUCUGGUUGUCCACCCUGAAUUUUGAGCCAUUUUAUCCAGCAGGUUCUGUCUUUCUCUCCAUGUGUUGCUCAAAAACGCCCCACCAGCUGAGGCAUCCACAAUAUUCUUCAUGCUAUCAGAAAGACCCAUGUAAAACCGUUGUCCCAACAUCUGCUCUAGAAUAAAAUGUUGGGGACACAUCACCAACAUUCCUUUGAACCUUCCCCAUGUCUCGUGCAAAGUUUCCAUAGGUUUUGUUGAAUCUUACAAUCUCGUCAAUCCGCUUUGAUGUUUUGUUGGGCGGAUGGAACUUGUUGUGAAACUAUUUGACUAACUCAUCUCAAGUUUCAAUGGAGUUUAUGGGUAGUGAUUUAAGCCAAAUAUGAGCAGCUUUUGUCACAGAUAAAGGAAAUAAUAGAAGCAUGAUUUCUUCCGGAGUCACGUUGGGCUGCCUCUGAGUCUUGCAUAUAAACAGGAAAUUUUUAAGUGGUGUUGAGGGUCUUCUACCUGUGUUCCAAAGAACAAUUCCUUGUUUUGCAACAUGUGCAGCAUAUUGCUUGUAAUCUGGAAUGAUUCAACAUGUAUCGCUGGCACAACAGUGGCAGUUGCCAAAUUAUCAGAUGUUGGCUGUUCCAAGUCACAAAGUGCACCCUUCGGCACAAGAGGUGCCGCCACUCCAGCAUUUAAGUUGACUUGCUCUUGUCUGCCGUCUCUGUUGGGGUCGAUUACGCCGUCCAUUUCAGGUUGGAGUUUGUCUGUCUGUUGAGAUGGUUGAAGUCUUCUGUUAGCAUGGUUUAAUGCCCCGAAUAUCUUUUCAGGGUCUGAGAGUCCUUCAAGCAAUUCUCCGGUCCUUGUAGAAUUUCUAGGCAUACACCUGUGCAACCAAGUCAACCGUCAAAAGUUUUAACCAAAAUUCGGUGUAAAGAAACUAGCUACACCAAGAAUUUUUGUAACUCUAGCAAUGGCAAUGGAUAAUUUCGUUAAUCCCCCGGCAACUACGGCAGAAUUUGAUCACGCCUAAAGUAUGCCCUCUAAAAAGGAUUUUGUGGACAUUGCAAAUAAAACCCAAGUAUUGUGCCCAUGGUCGAAUCCACAGAGAGUUAACCUAUUAAAUACCACCUUAAGACCCACUCAAAUCCUCAAGACCAGCUUCCCCAAAACUUUCGAAUCACAGUUGGAAGUGUAAUUACUAGUUAAUAUUUGGAAUAAAGUAACAAGCUGAAAUUAGACUAACUAAGUUUGUAAACAAUAUGAGAGAGAGAUGCUACGGUCAAAACUUUCCCUAUUGAUAGAAUUCCUUCUGUUUAUGCUUCAUAAAAAUUUACCAACAUUUUUAUAUCAACAAUGAACACUUAGCUUAUUACGAAUUUCUUCCGAAUAAUCACAAUAAUAUACUAUUGCACUCUCCCGAGCUACACUAGCUAGAUUUAAUUAAACAGUUCAUUCAAAAUUGCACGAAGGCUUUGUUAUUCCUAAUCCCGCCUUUAAACCUGCAGUUAUAUAUUCCACUUAUUACCUAGGAGUGGUGUUAUUCAAUAACUACUUAAACAUACACUCUUUUCCAAGUUAUGCACACUAAAUAAGCACAGCUAAUUGAGGAUCCUGUCUAUUAACUACAACAAGAACAUAGUUGAAUAAAUAUAGAUUAAAACCGACAAAUUCGCAUUAACAUAAACUAGAAGUUCAUCCCUUAAUAGGUUCCAUCAAGACCUUAGACAAAGGAAUUAGCUACUCCUAACUAUGGGUAUACAAAAUAAACUAAGAUUAAACAUAAUCUAACAAUAAAAAUCAAAAGGAAAGAAGAAAUAGGUUUGAGUUAUUCUCACAUGCUUGUUUCUCGUUCCAAGAACACUAAAUAAUCAAUACAUGCCUCAAAGGGGAGGAACCUAGUGACUAAUAUAGGUUUUAGGGCUUAAUUCCACGUUUUCCUUCAACUGCUUCUAUCCAGUCACAUGCCUUCCGCGGUCCAGGCGCGGUCGCGGUCGAACCGGGCCCGUGAAGCCUCUUUGAAUCUCGAUUUUGUCUACAACCCUAUUUUCCCACGCUCCGCGGUCGCAGCUCGACCGCGGCCAAAGGCCUUUUCUGAACUUUUUUUUAGUCUUAGACCAUGUUUCACCGCGUUACGUCAGCGGUCACGGCUGGACCGCGGCCAAUGGUUGCUUCAUAAUUCCUUGGCCUGUUUCACUUGAUUUGGUUAGGGGUUUUCAUGGUUGGAAUUUUUUCUUCAUUUUCUCGACUCCACAAGUACUUCUCGCCUUCCUAGUCGUGUAUAGCCUGAAAACAUGAAAAAGCACCCAUAAGAGCAUUUUUGCUAACACUUUUAAUAUCAAAACAAUACAAGAAGGUUGUUAUUUAGGGCCUGAAUAUAGUAAAAUUCACCUAUUAUCAAAGAGUGAGGUAUGUCUUUGGGAGUCCUGUGGAGAAGAGUAACGUUGGGCAGGGUCAUCCAUUGCAUGAGUAUAUACACGGGUACAAUGUCAAGGUUGGAAAUGUUGAUCAGUAGAGUCAUUUGGAUCAUGUUUUCUGUUUCUGUUUCUCAUUUUCGAGCUUAACGAGAUGUCCUGAAUGUCUUCUGAGCAACUCUUUAUUUUUCCCGACUUGAUUCCCUGUUCUACGAAUUCCCCAUUCUUAGCACAUCAUUGAAAGGUCUCCCCACGACCGGGAUCAAAUGUUUGAAUUAACUGGGCCCCUGGGCCUGAAUGAAAAUUUCAACCAUCUCUUCUUCACCAAUCAGGGUAUUGACUCGAGGAGCUUGCUCCUUCCAUCUGAGCCCAAACUCUCUAAAGCUCUCCCCUGGUUUCCUUUCCAUUCUAGAUAGGGAGGAAUGGUUUGGGACAAUGUCUUUAUCGUACUGAAAAUGUUGCAAAAAAUCUGGAGCCAUGUCGCCCAGCGUGUGCCAUUCCCGAUAUCUUGAUGAUCAUGCCAUUCCAAGGCUGCCCCAAUCAGGCUCUCACUGAAAUGCGACAUCAACAACUCAUCUUCCUUGCCGACAUUCCUAGUUUUAUAGCAAUAAUCCCUCAAAUGGUCCACUGUAUCUCCCCGCCCAUCAUACAAAUUAAACUUUGGCAUCUUAAACCCUUCCAGCUUUCUGGAUAUCUCAUUCUCCUCCAUUAUUUUAGCAAGCUUCGUAGUCUCACCGGGACCCUCAAAAUGAAGAGCAUUAUGGUAUGGACUCGAGGCCUUGAAAAUUUGUUCUGGAACGUAAUGUUGGGCAUCGGGGACUGAUGGCGGUGGACACCCACUGGCCCAAGCUUAGUGCAUUACGACUGUCUAUCUUUUCAACCUUAAAACCUCUUCUUUCAACUUUGACUCUGACUCAACAAUGCCCCUAGACGGAUCAGUAAUACAUGUGUUCAACCCUUUGCCUGCCAUGACUGCCUUGCUAUUCGACCUUGUGUUGUAUGGCUGAGUUACCAUAAACCAACCACUUCAACUUUCUUCACGAUUCAAAACAAAACAUGUUAGAAUGGAUUGAGUCGGCCCUCAUUAUUAACAACAUCUUUUCCCAGUGUUUUGUUUUUCUAUUUUUGUUUAUUCAAUUUUCUUUUCCUUUUUUCAUCAUUUUUUUUCUUGUCUUUUUUUUUGGUUGUGGUCGAAUCCUAUAUGGAUUGCCUACGUAUCAUGACCCCGCAUGACUCAAACCGUGAGUAGUUCUUGCAAAUAAAAGGUAAACGACAAUAAAACAUUUUUCGAAAUUUUCCAUUUUCAUAAUAACAACAAAACUAACCAACUUAACGAUGAAAUACAAACUCGAAAAUCUAACACCCUUAUACUCUAAUCAAAAGAAAUACAAACCCAAAAACAAAAUGACAGAUUCUUUCCCCUAUAUGCCAAUUUCAACCCAAAAUCCGAACGAUAUUCACUUGACCGUUGACUCUUUUUCUUGUUUUUCAAAUUAAAAUAAAUGACCCGGUAUUGCAAACACGGCCUUCCAGCGCCUCGGGGACGAAGAUUUUAAGGCUGUGAGGGUCAGAAUCAAAAUAUAACCAAAGGUAGCCGUUUAUGCAAAGUCAGCCUUCUGGCGCCCCGUUAGGGAACAUUUGGCUAUUUUUUAUAAAAACGGCAUCAACUGAUUUAGUUACGGCUCUUUUCUUGUUUUUCAAAUAAAAAUCAAAAUAAAAGACACGGUAUUGCAAAUAUGGCCAUUCAACGUCUCGAGGGCGAAAACUUAAGGCUGUGAGGGUUGAAAAUCAAAACAUGACCAAAGGUGGCUCUUUAUGCAAGGUCAGCCUUCCGGCGUCCCUUUUGAGAACAUUCGACUAUUUUUUACAAAACGGCAUCACCUGGUUUAUUUAUGACAAAAAUAAAAAUUUUGACAUUUUUGGGCUAUUUUUGUAAAGGGGAGGUUGGACCCAAUGAGGGUUGCCUACGUAUCUCACGCCCUGUGAGAAUCAAACCAUGCGUAGUUCCGACUCGACUCUUUUCUUUUUCCAAAAAAAAUAAAAUAGCCCAAAACUAAAAACUUUUUUUUUAUUUUUUUUAUUUUUUAUAACAGAACAAACUAUUUAUCUCUUUUUCAUUUUCGAAAAAAAGAUUAAUAUAAAAGGCUCUUUUUCCUUUCUCAUUUUUUAUGGAACAAAAAACUAUUUUUCCUUUUCUAUUUUUGAAAACAAGAUAAAAUAACGAUUUCUUUUUAUUUUAAACAAACAACCUAUUUUUCCCAAUUAAAGUAAAGACUCUUUUUUUUAAGUUUUUUAGUAACACAACCUAAAAAUAAAGUCUUUUUUUUACAAUAAAACACCCUAUUUUUCCAUUGGAAAAUAAACUAUUUUGUAACAAGAAGAACAAAAAUUAAGACUUCUUUUUUCUCAUGGAAAAGCAAACUAUUUUUCACUUUCCAUUUUUGCAAACAUGACAAACUAAAAAAUGACUCACUCUUUUUGAAUAAAACAACUAUUUAAAAAUAAAAUAUUUUAAAUUUUCUCAAAAUUUCGGUAGAGUUUUGACAGUACUUGGACAUCGGUUUUUCUAAAAAAUCACUUAACUUUCCAACUACAAUUUUUCUUUUUAUUCUUUUUUUCUUUUUUGUUUAAAUUUUCUAACAUUCCUGAGAUUCAAAAGCCGGUCAACAUGCAAGCACGAGCAAAUAAAUGCACAGAAAACAAGUAGGAUGCAUCAGGACGGUCGUUUCAUUUCAGGUUGCUAGCCUUAGAUGGACCCAACCCUUGUGUUGAGUCCCCUAAGUCAAAAUCCACAUGAUGCAAACAAGCGUUCCUACUAGGGAUCCGACAUGAGGCUGAGUUAUUCUAGGUUCAAAACCUGGGUGUUUGUUCUAGACNNNNNNNNNNNNNNNNNNNNNNNNNNNNNNNNNNNNNNNNNNNNNNNNNNNNNNNNNNNNNNNNNNNNNNNNNNNNNNNNNNNNNNUUCAAAGCCUGGGUGUUUGUUCUAGACCGGGCUUACCUGAGCGGAAGCUCGAGCCGAGGAGGAGACGGCAAUCCGGGAAUACAGAAGCUUCACUGGCUUUGCAACUUAUCCAAACUUCGUUCUAAUUUGGGAUUUGACACGAUACAGAAAAGAAGUCGUAUGAAGUACACCCUUCUUCAUGAUUCAUAAGACUCAAAGAGGAGAUAGGUUUCGGCACAGUUUAUAUACAGUUCACAUAAUAUCAAAGCUGUAAAAGCAGUCAAUUAGCACAUUAGGCACAUAUCAUGUAACAAAAUCAGAUAAAGCCAAACACCACAAUUAUUCUAAGCUCGAAUUAUGAACCCUGAACAAAGCGUUCUGGGUUCUUUUCCCCAGCAGAGUCGCUAGAGCUGUCACACCUCCUUUUUUACUGUACACCCCCCAAAGGGGCGUAAAGGAGUUUUCCAAUUAAACGAUAAUAGAAAUGGGAUUUGUUUGUUAUUUAUUCAGAGUCGCUACUUGGGAGAUUAAUGGUGUCCCAAGUCACCAGUUGAAUCCGAACCAAGGAAAAAGAUGAUGUCAUUUCACAGUCCGCGAACUAAAAAUCCGAAUAAGGAAUUCUGUUAACCUGGGAGAAGGUGUUAGGCAUUCCCAAGUUCCGUGGUUCUAGCACGGUCGCUCAACUGUUGGAUUUAGCUUUUAACUGAUUUUAUUACAUGAAGAACCUAUGUGCCAAUUUUUACUCUUUUGCCGCUUUUAUUUAAUAGAUGUUUAUUUGAGAAAGUGAACGUCGUUUAAAGUGUGUUUUCGGAUUGCGCCGCAUCAAAUGAACCCGCAAUCCUAGGCACACUCUAUUAAACGUUUUAAGAUUUGGAUUUGGGACGCAUAAAAUUCCCACCCGUAUUUAGGAAUGUAAUUUACUAAAGUCGCGCCUAAUAGGGUCUAACGCGUUCUAAUCGUUUGGGAGGGUCGUGAAAUUGGCUAAACGACCCUUCCCAUUUUUUAAAAUAUUUUUAAACCUUUAUUGAGUUUCCCGAAAUUUGUAUUUUUGGGCGAGGCUCGUCUCAUUUUAUUUUUAAAAAAUAUAAACCUAAAAGAUAACUAUAUUUGUUUUUUGAUUUUUGUUCUAAGAGAAAAGAAAAUCCUAAUUGAUUAUUAGAAUUCGGAUUCCGAGUUCAAGUCUGGGCCCAAACAAAAGGAGGAACCUUUUAGUUUAAAACCCUCAACCUAACUAGAAACCAAAUUUUAUUAAUUCACCACUUAGUGUCUCUAAAACAUGAAAAGCCUUAAUUAAUUACAAAAUUCUAAUCCAACUGAGCCAAGACCGUACCCAAGUAUGGAUGAGGCAUAACCAAACGUCGGAAAUACUGAAGCCUAUGAUAGAAAGGCCCAAUCUAACGAACCAAAUGGUUUUACGUGGGAGCUGUGGCAAAUGGGCCUGAGGCCAGCCCAAACGGUAAUGCUCAAGGAAGAUCAGGGGAUCAAACCCCUGGAGCUCACAAGCACACGAGUUAAUUUGUUAUCAAACCGUUCGCCACUUCAGUCAAUAUAGACAAGAACAAUUGGAACAAUUGAAUUUCUAAAAAAACUGCAAUUAAUAUUGAACUGAGCAAACCAACCAUGUAUAAAUUUUUCACGUAAAUAAGAAGAAAAGACAAACCAAUCAUGUUUAAUUUUAUUAGCGCUUCCUACCAAUAAUUAGCUAUAUCUACCAUGAUUUAUCAAUCUCAACACUAAUCAACAACUUAAACACCCACUGAUUUUAAUGUCCUGAAAUCAAAUUACUUAAACACCACUAAUUGUAAUUAACUACUGAAAACUUCAAUCAUCUGUUUAUUUCUAAGCACAUGCAUACACUUGAUAAUUCAAGCUGAAUUUGUGCAGUCCAAAUCAGCAUAGGAUUAUCCCAAUCAACAGCCUAAAUUAAUACAAAUUGACUACGCCAAGCACGAUUCUGUUCCUCAUGAAUUUACAAUCUAAUCUUACUAGAAAAUAGUCCAAUUACUCAUAACAGAAACAGUGAACUAAUGAAAUCGUAAAUUUUAAACUUGCUUCAAAUUGAGCAAGGAUUUGCGCACAUUUCAUUUCAACUUCAAGAGUAGCUACAUGGAAACAAUUUGAGGGAGUGUACCUGAAUGCCGAAAUACAAGAAAAGUGAGAAGAGGAUCAGCUUAUAAUGACAAGUUCCUGCAGUGUAAUUUGCAGUUUUAGCAGCAGGAAAUACAGCUAGUGUCCAGCAGUUAACAAUAGCUACAAACUUGGACAAUUUGGACCCAAAAUGACUUCACAAAACCAAAGCCAUUCACCAUAGGAAGGCCACAACCAGUAAAGGACUCUAGAACAACUUAAUUGCUACCAAAACCAAACGAAAUUCACCCCAAAAUACCCUUGGAACCAACAGUAACCAGAAGAUGAACCAAAAAUUGUAAUCCAACAGCUAAUAAUUGAAACCCAUUUAACAUCUUAAUGAAACAUGAGAAUUUCUUAGAUUUUCUGGAUAGAUUUCUAUUUUUUUGGUUUUUCUCUUGAAGAAGCUAAAAUUAAAGGUAAUUUCAGAUCUGAAUUUCAGAUCUGGAAGCUUGAGGAUUUUUGGGCUGACCAAAACUUGUAUUUUAAGUCACUAAUGAUGCAUUUUUAUAGGCCUAAGGGAGGGCAACCCUCAAAUUUCAGUUUUCCUUUUAGUCCCUCCUAAUUUUCAGUUUAGUCCCUCUAUUUUUGACUUGCUAAACAAGGAAAUUCAUCAUAACACUUGUGCCCCAUUCUAGAAGCCUCUAGGAUGCUCUUUUAGCUAGGCAAUUCCUAUACUACCCUUACCCCUAUUUUGAAAUUACAAAACGUAACAAACUUACCCUUUUCCAAUGCCCGAACUACCCUUGUCACCUCCUAGAAUUACUAACCUCAGUUGAUUCCACCAAACCUUUUUACUCUUAGAUAAGGUCUAACUAAAGCUACCCAUAGACAAGCUAAAACUAGUCCAACAAUUACAAACAAUCAGGAACAACCAUCAAAAUAAACAGAGACAAAAUUAAACUAUUAUACCACCUAAACUAUUAUCUGAAAAUCAAUUAACCAAAAUGAAUCAACAAAUUAAACUAAAAGAUAGAAUAGACCGGGAAUGAGACUAGACCAACAAUUAUACAGAACUCAGUCAGAAUAAAUAAAAUAGGUACACAUACUAUAAUAAUUAAACCCUACCCAAGACUGAUAAACUACGAAAUUAUAACAAAGCUAAACUACCAUAACAAGAUAAAAACUAAAACUCAACCCAAAAUCAGAUUUAAACCACGAGCCAAUCUUAUGUAACAAACCGGACUGGGAAUGAAAAAAAGAACAUGAAAAGCUAAACUAUUCUAAUAGAAAUAACAAGUUAAAGAACACUUACUAUGGAAGAUGUUCAAACUUCACAAAAAACAAAUGAACUCCUAAAGCAAGUUUGACUCCAGCAUCCUAGAUUUGAAAUCUGAUCCAACCACGUGAAAUUCAAGAGAAGUUAACCAAGGAUUUGUGAAGAGGAAGACGGGGAAACUGUGUGGUGAAGAUUUGGAGCCAUUUGGAUGAACUACGAUUUCUUGGCCAAUUUUCGAUCUAAUAUUCAAGUGAUCGGCCGGGAACUGAAGAAAGUGGCUUUGGGGUUUGGAAAGGGGAUGAGGAGAAGAAUCAAUGGUGAAAUUGUGGGGUUAUUUCGAGCAUCGCUACCACUGGAGACGAUUUCCGGCCGGCGGCUUACGGAGGAGCAUGGCGACAUUUCAUUUCUCUGAUGAGAAUUUAAGAGAGAAGAGGGUGAGGGGUCUGAGGGGGUAGGGUAGUGUUAGGGCAGUUUUAUGCGAUUAAAC